CGUGUAGGCGGCCGAUUAAGUCUGGAGUGAAAGUCCUGCUUUCAAGGUGGGAAUUGCUUUGGAAACUGGUUGGCUUGAGUGCGGAAGAGGUAAGUGGAAUUCCCAGUGUAGCGGUGAAAUGCGUAGAGAUUGGGAGGAACACCAGUGGCGAAGGCGACUUACUGGGCCGUAACUGACGCUGAGGCGCGAAAGCGUGGGGAGCGAACA
This 207-nucleotide ribosomal RNA is filed under the name uncultured bacterium. RNAcentral describes it as "partial 16S ribosomal RNA". It matches the Rfam family "Bacterial small subunit ribosomal RNA", at positions 568 to 774 of the family's 1533-position model. The record is from RNAcentral.